RNAcentral lists this ribosomal RNA (460 nucleotides) under uncultured bacterium. Its description in RNAcentral is "partial 16S ribosomal RNA". It matches the Rfam family "Bacterial small subunit ribosomal RNA", at positions 338 to 795 of the family's 1533-position model. The record is from RNAcentral.
CCUACGGGAGGCAGCAGUGAGGAAUAUUGGACAAUGGACGCAAGCCUGAACCAGCCAAGUAGCGUGAAGGAUGACGGCCCUAGGGGUUGUAAACUGCUUUUAUAGGGGAAUAAAAUGGUCCACGUGUGGGAUUUUGUAUGUACCAUAUGAAUAAGGAUAGGCUAAAUCCGUGCCAGCAGCCGCGGUAAUACGGAGGAUCCGAGCGUUAUCCGGAUUUAUUGGGUUUAAAGGGAGCGUAGGUGGAUUGUUAAGUCCGUGGUGAAAGUUCGCGGCUCAACCGUAAAAUUGCAGUUGAAACUGGCAGUCUUGAGUACAGUAGAGGUGAGCGGAAUUCGUGGUGUAGCGGUGAAAUGCUUAGAUAUCACGAAGAACUCCGAUUGCGAAGGCAGCUCACUGGACUGCAACUGACACUGAGGCUCGAAAGUGUGGGUAUCAAACAGGAUUAGAUACCCCAGUAGUC